RNAcentral lists this ribosomal RNA (468 nucleotides) under uncultured bacterium. Its description in RNAcentral is "partial 16S ribosomal RNA". It matches the Rfam family "Bacterial small subunit ribosomal RNA", at positions 28 to 507 of the family's 1533-position model. The record is from RNAcentral.
GACGAACGCUGGCGGCGUGCUUAACACAUGCAAGUCGAACGGAAAGGCCCUGCUUUUGUGGGGUGCUCGAGUGGCGAACGGGUGAGUAACAAGUGAGUAACCUGCCCUUGACUUUGGGAUAACUUCAGGAAACUGGGGCUAAUACCGGAUAGGAGCUCCUGCUGCAUGGUGGGGGUUGGAAAGUUUCGGCGGUUGGGGAUGGACUCGCGGCUUAUCAGCUUGUUGGUGGGGUAGUGGCUUACCAAGGCUUUGACGGGUAGCCGGCCUGAGAGGGUGACCGGCCACAUUGGGACUGAGAUACGGCCCAGACUCCUACGGGAGGCAGCAGUGGGGAAUAGUGCACAAUGGGCGGAAGCCUGAUGCAGCAACGCCGCGUGCGGGAUGACGGCCUUCGGGUUGUAAACCGCUUUCGCCUGUGACGAAGCGUGAGUGACGGUAAUGGGUAAAGAAGCACCGGCUAACUACGUG